RNAcentral lists this long non-coding RNA (239 nucleotides) under Mytilus galloprovincialis (Mediterranean mussel). The record is from RNAcentral. Lineage: Eukaryota; Metazoa; Mollusca; Bivalvia; Mytilida; Mytilidae.
GAAAUAGAAACCGAAUCAGAAAAUAGGGGAACCGAAUAAGGAAAUAGAAACCGAAUAAGGAAAUGAAAUCAAAUAAGGAAAUAGAAAGCGAAUAAGGAAAAAGAAACUGAAUAAGGAAAUAGAAACCCAAUAAGGAAAUAGAAACCGAAUAAGAAAAUGAAAAUCAAAUAAGGAAAUAGAAACCAAAUAAGGAAAUGAAAAUCGAAUAAGGAAAUAGAAAGCAAAUAAGGAAAUGAAAA